CCUACGUGAGGCAGCAGUGAGGAAUAUUGGUCAAUGGCCGCAAGGCUGAACCAGCCAUGUCGCGUGAGGGCAGACGGCCCUAUGGAUUGUAACCCCCUUUUGUCAGGGCGCAAAGGGCGCUGCGUGUACCGUUUUGUGAUUACUGUACGAAAAAGAAUCGGCUAACUCCGUGCCAGCAGCCGCGGUAAUACGGAGGAUGCGAGCGUUAUCCGGAUUUGCUGGGUGUAAAGGGAGCGUAGACGGCUGUGCAAGUCGGAAGUGAAAGCGCCGGGCUUAACCUCGGAAUUGCUUUGGAUACUGUAUAGCUUGAGUACUGGAGAGGCAGGUGGAAUUCCUAGUGUAGCGGUGAAAUGCUUAGAUAUCACGAAGAACUCCGAUGGCGAAGGCAGCUUACUAAACUGCAACUGACAUUGAUGCUCGAAAGUGUGGGUAUCAAACAGGAUUAGAUACCCGUGUAGUC
This 460-nucleotide ribosomal RNA is filed under the name uncultured bacterium. RNAcentral describes it as "partial 16S ribosomal RNA". It matches the Rfam family "Bacterial small subunit ribosomal RNA", at positions 338 to 795 of the family's 1533-position model. The record is from RNAcentral.